UGGGGAAUCUUGCACAAUGGGCGAAAGCCUGAUGCAGCGACGCCGCGUGCGGGAUGAAGGCCUUCGGGUUGUAAACCGCUUUCAGCAGGGACGAGGCGAAAGUGACGGUACCUGCAGAAGAAGCCCCGGCUAACUACGUGCCAGCAGCCGCGGUAAUACGUAGGGGGCAAGCGUUAUCCGGAUUCAUUGGGCGUAAAGCGCUCGUAGGCGGUCUGUUAGGUCGGGAGUUAAAUCCGGGGGCUCAACCCCCGUUCGCUCCCGAUACCGGCAGACUUGAGUUUGGUAGGGGAAGGUGGAAUUCCUAGUGUAGCGGUGGAAUGCGCAGAUAUUAGGAAGAACACCAGUGGCGAAGGCGGCCUUCUGGGCCAUAACUGACGCUGAGGAGCGAAAGCUAGGGGAGCAAACAGGAUUAGAUACCCUGGUAGUCCUAGCCGUAAACGAUGGACACUAGGUGUGGGGGGAAUAUUUCUUCCGUGCCGCAGCUAACGCAUUANNNNUUCCCCCCCNNGNGAANGGCCCCCGGG
RNAcentral lists this ribosomal RNA (524 nucleotides) under uncultured bacterium. RNAcentral describes it as "bacterial SSU rRNA". It matches the Rfam family "Bacterial small subunit ribosomal RNA", at positions 355 to 873 of the family's 1533-position model. The record is from RNAcentral.